CCAGAAGGGAGUUCCCCUGGCCUCGUGUUGCGUUUGGCACUUAAUAAUGCAGCCGCUGUCCUAGAAGGCUCUCCCACCACCACCUUCCCGCCCCACACAGGACUGCAGAGAGUUAUUCUAACAGGAGGGAUGACAGCCUCUGUUGAGACACCAGUGGAACCACAGGAGGACACAGUUCUGUCCACGCAGGGCCAGACCAGACAGGCACCCAGCGUCCAGAAGAGGGCAGUCUGGACUGUGAGAUGGGACAGUUGGGGGGACUCCCGGAGGGCCGGUAAUGCUCCAGUUCCUGAUUGGGUGUUGGUUAUAUGGAGUCACUUUGUGAAAAGUGACUUUUCUUGCACUUUUCUGUAUAUGGUAUUCAAUAUUUACCAAAAAA
Long non-coding RNA from Aethalodelphis obliquidens (Pacific white-sided dolphin), 379 nucleotides. RefSeq lists it as uncharacterized. The record is from RefSeq and is a predicted model, not a curated record. The transcript has 2 exons. Lineage: Eukaryota; Metazoa; Chordata; Mammalia; Artiodactyla; Delphinidae.